Molecule: ribosomal RNA, 433 nt
Filed under: uncultured bacterium
Lineage: Bacteria
Description: partial 16S ribosomal RNA
Rfam family: Bacterial small subunit ribosomal RNA
Source: RNAcentral
AACGAACGCUGGCGGCAUGCCUAACACAUGCAAGUCGAACGAGACCUUCGGGUCUAGUGGCGCACGGGUGCGUAACGCGUGGGAACCUGCCCUUAGGUUCGGAAUAACUCCCCGAAAGGGGUGCUAAUACCGGAUAAUGUCUUCGGACCAAAGAUUUAUCGCCUUUGGAUGGGCCCGCGUUGGAUUAGCUAGUUGGUAGGGUAAAAGCCUACCAAGGCGACGAUCCAUAGCUGGUCUGAGAGGAUGAUCAGCCACACUGGGACUGAGACACGGCCCAGACUCCUACGGGAGGAAGAAGGGGGGAUGAUUGGAGAAGGGGCGAAGGCCGAAGCCAGCAAUGCCGCGUGAGUGAGGAAGGCCUUAGGGUUGUAAAGCUCUUUGACCCGGGAGGAUAAGGACAGUACCGGGAGAAUAAGCGCCGGCUAACUCCGUG